Molecule: ribosomal RNA, 861 nt
Filed under: Alkalibacillus salilacus
Lineage: Bacteria; Bacillati; Bacillota; Bacilli; Caryophanales; Bacillaceae
Description: bacterial SSU rRNA
Rfam family: Bacterial small subunit ribosomal RNA
Source: RNAcentral
GGGCCAUUGGAAACUGGGGAACUUGAGGACCCGAAGAGGAGAGCGGCAAUUCCACGUGUAGCGGUGAAAUGCGUAGAUAUGUGGAGGAACACCAGUGGCGAAGGCGGCUCUUUGGUCUGUAACUGACGCUGAGGCGCGAAAGCAUGGGUAGCGAACAGGAUUAGAUACCCUGGUAGUCCAUGCCGUAAACGUUGAGUGCUAGGUGUUAGGGGGUCCAACCCUUAGUGCUGCAGUUAACGCAAUAAGCACUCCGCCUGGGGAGUACGGCCGCAAGGCUGAAACUCAAAGGAAUUGACGGGGGCCUGCACAAGCGGUGGAGCAUGUGGUUUAAUUCGACGCAACGCGAAGAACCUUACCAGGUCUUGACAUCUUCGGACAGCCCAAGAGAUUGGGUCUUCCCUUCGGGGACCGAAUGACAGGUGGUGCAUGGUUGUCGUCAGCUCGUGUCGUGAGAUGUUGGGUUAAGUCCCGUAACGAGCGCAACCCCUGAUCUUAGUUGCCAGCAUUGAGUUGGGCACUCUAGGAUGACUGCCGGUGACAAACCGGAGGAAGGCGGGGAUGACGUCAAAUCAUCAUGCCCCUUAUGACCUGGGCUACACACGUGCUACAAUGGAUGGUACAAAGGGAAGCCAAACCGCGAGGUCGAGCUAAUCCCAUAAAGCCAUUCUCAGUUCGGAUUGUAGGCUGCAACUCGCCUGCAUGAAGCCGGAAUCGCUAGUAAUCGCGGAUCAGAAUGCCGCGGUGAAUACGUUCCCAGGCCUUGUACACACCGCCCGUCACACCACGAGAGUUGGCAACACCCGAAGUCGGUGAGGUGAACGAUCACGCUGCACAGCCAACGUCAGGGUGGGCCAAUAACCC